RNAcentral lists this long non-coding RNA (78 nucleotides) under Dromaius novaehollandiae (emu). RNAcentral's name for it is "lncRNA (ENSDNVG00000011632.1)". Lineage: Eukaryota; Metazoa; Chordata; Aves; Casuariiformes; Dromaiidae. The record is from RNAcentral.
AACAGUCCAGAGGUGCUGCAAUAUAGCCUAUGCCAACAUCAAGUUUGUAUGUGGUCCUCACUAGUAUAAAACCUGAGC